GGAAGUGGGGAUGACGUCAAGUCAUCAUGGCCCUUACGGCCUGGGCUACACACGUGCUACAAUGGUCGGUCAAAGGGUUGCCAAGCCGCGAGGUGGAGCUAAUCCCAUAAAACCGAUCGUAGUCCGGAUCGCAGUCUGCAACUCGACUGCGUGAAGUCGGAAUCGCUAGUAAUCGUGAAUCAGAAUGUCACGGUGAAUACGUUCCCGGGCCUU
This 213-nucleotide ribosomal RNA is filed under the name uncultured Pseudomonas sp. RNAcentral's name for it is "partial 16S ribosomal RNA". It matches the Rfam family "Bacterial small subunit ribosomal RNA", at positions 1169 to 1382 of the family's 1533-position model. The record is from RNAcentral. Lineage: Bacteria; Pseudomonadati; Pseudomonadota; Gammaproteobacteria; Pseudomonadales; Pseudomonadaceae.